UACAGAGGGGGCAAGCGUUGUUCGGAAUUACUGGGCGUAAAGGGCGCGUAGGCGGCCUUCUAAGUCGAACGUGAAAUCCCCGGGCUCAACCCGGGAACUGCGUCCGAUACUGGCAGGCUUGAAUCCGGGAGAGGGAUGCGGAAUUCCAGGUGUAGCGGUGAAAUGCGUAGAUAUCUGGAGGAACACCGGUGGCGAAGGCGGCAUCCUGGACCAACACUGACACUGAGGAGCGAAAGCCAGGGGAGCAAACGGG
RNAcentral lists this ribosomal RNA (253 nucleotides) under uncultured bacterium. RNAcentral describes it as "partial 16S ribosomal RNA". It matches the Rfam family "Bacterial small subunit ribosomal RNA", at positions 524 to 776 of the family's 1533-position model. The record is from RNAcentral.